GGGGGGGGGGGGGGGGGGGGGGGGGGGGGGGGGGGCGGGGGGGGGCGGCGGGUGUGGUGGGGCACGGGUGCGUGACGCGUGGGAACCUGCCCUUAGGUUCGGACGAACUCCCCGAAAGGGGGGCUAAUACCGGGGGAUGUCUUCGGACCAAAGAUUUAGCGCCUUUGGAUGGGCCCGCGCUGGAUUAGCUAGGUGGUAGGGUAAAAGCCUACCAAGGCGACGAGCCAUAGCUGGUCUGAGAGGAUGAUCAGCCACACUGGGACUGAGACACGGCCCAGACUCCUACGGGAGGCAGCAGUGGGGAAUAUUGGACAAUGGGAGAAAGCCUGAUCCAGCAAUGCCGCGUGAGUGAUGAAGGCCUUAGGGUUGUAAAGCUCUUUUACCCGGGAUGAUAAUGACAGUACCGGGAGAAUAAGCUCCGGCUAACUCCGUG
Molecule: ribosomal RNA, 433 nt
Filed under: uncultured bacterium
Lineage: Bacteria
Description: partial 16S ribosomal RNA
Rfam family: Bacterial small subunit ribosomal RNA (bases 45-433)
Source: RNAcentral